CCAGUCCUACGGGGGUAGCAGUGAGGAAUAUUGGUCAAUGGUCGGGAGACUGAACCAGCCAAGCCGCGUGAGGGAUGAAGGUACAGAGUAUCGUAAACCUCUUUUGUCAGGGAACAAAGGCGGGGACGUGUCCCCGGAUGAGUGUACCUGAAGAAAAAGCAUCGGCUAACUCCGUGCCAGCAGCCGCGGUAAUACGGAGGAUGCGCGCGUUAUCCGGAUUUAUUGGGUUUAAAGGGUGCGCAGGCGGUCUGUUACGUCAGCGGUCAAAGCCCGGGGCUAAACCCCGGCCCGCCGUUGCA
RNAcentral lists this ribosomal RNA (299 nucleotides) under uncultured bacterium. RNAcentral's name for it is "partial 16S ribosomal RNA". It matches the Rfam family "Bacterial small subunit ribosomal RNA", at positions 333 to 631 of the family's 1533-position model. The record is from RNAcentral.